UGGGGAAUAUUGGACAAUGGGGGCAACCCUGAUCCAGCCAUGCCGCGUGAGUGAAGAAGGCCUUAGGGUUGUAAAGCUCUUUCGACGGGGACGAUGAUGACGGUACCCGUAGAAGAAGCCCCGGCUAACUUCGUGCCAGCAGCCGCGGUAAUACGAAGGGGGCAAGCGUUGUUCGGAUUUACUGGGCGUAAAGGGCGCGUAGGCGGAUGCGUAAGUCAGAGGUGAAAGCCCUGGGCUCAACCCGGGAAUUGCCUUUGAGACUGCGUGUCUUGAGUAUGGGAGAGGGUGGCGGAAUACCCAGUGUAGAGGUGAAAUUCGUAGAUAUUGGGUAGAACACCAGUGGCGAAGGCGGCCACCUGGCCCAUAACUGACGCUGAGGCGCGAAAGCGUGGGGAGCAAACAGG
This 404-nucleotide ribosomal RNA is filed under the name uncultured bacterium. Its description in RNAcentral is "bacterial SSU rRNA". It matches the Rfam family "Bacterial small subunit ribosomal RNA", at positions 355 to 776 of the family's 1533-position model. RNAcentral also lists the same sequence under 1 other name. The record is from RNAcentral.